CCUACGGGUGGCAGCAGUGGGGAAUAUUGCACAAUGGGCGCAAGCCUGAUGCAGCCAUGCCGCGUGUGUGAAGAAGGCCUUCGGGUUGUAAAGCACUUUCAGCGGGGAGGAAGGCGUUAAGGUUAAUAACCUUGGCGAUUGACGUUACCCGCAGAAGAAGCACCGGCUAACUCCGUGUCAGCAGCCGCGGUAAUACGGAGGGUGCAAGCGUUAAUCGGAAUUACUGGGCGUAAAGCGCACGCAGGCGGUCUGUCAAGUCGGAUGUGAAAUCCCCGGGCUCAACCUGGGAACUGCAUUCGAAACUGGCAGGCUAGAGUCUUGUAGAGGGGGGUAGAAUUCCAGGUGUAGCGGUGAAAUGCGUAGAGAUCUGGAGGAAUACCGGUGGCGAAGGCGGCCCCCUGGACAAAGACUGACGCUCAGGUGCGAAAGCGUGGGGAGCAAACAGGAUUAGAUACCCGAGUAGUC
RNAcentral lists this ribosomal RNA (465 nucleotides) under uncultured Klebsiella sp. Its description in RNAcentral is "bacterial SSU rRNA". It matches the Rfam family "Bacterial small subunit ribosomal RNA", at positions 338 to 795 of the family's 1533-position model. The record is from RNAcentral. Lineage: Bacteria; Pseudomonadati; Pseudomonadota; Gammaproteobacteria; Enterobacterales; Enterobacteriaceae.